Molecule: ribosomal RNA, 470 nt
Filed under: Lactiplantibacillus plantarum
Lineage: Bacteria; Bacillati; Bacillota; Bacilli; Lactobacillales; Lactobacillaceae
Description: bacterial SSU rRNA
Rfam family: Bacterial small subunit ribosomal RNA
Source: RNAcentral
GUGAGUGGCGAACUGGUGAGUAACACGUGGGAAACCUGCCCAGAAGCGGGGGAUAACACCUGGAAACAGAUGCUAAUACCGCAUAACAACUUGGACCGCAUGGUCCGAGCUUGAAAGAUGGCUUCGGCUAUCACUUUUGGAUGGUCCCGCGGCGUAUUAGCUAGAUGGUGGGGUAACGGCUCACCAUGGCAAUGAUACGUAGCCGACCUGAGAGGGUAAUCGGCCACAUUGGGACUGAGACACGGCCCAAACUCCUACGGGAGGCAGCAGUAGGGAAUCUUCCACAAUGGACGAAAGUCUGAUGGAGCAACGCCGCGUGAGUGAAGAAGGGUUUCGGCUCGUAAAACUCUGUUGUUAAAGAAGAACAUAUCUGAGAGUAACUGUUCAGGUAUUGACGGUAUUUAACCAGAAAGCCACGGCUAACUACGUGCCAGCAGCCGCGGUAAUACGUAGGUGGCAAGCGUUGUCCG